GACGAACGCUGGCGGCGUGCUUAACACAUGCAAGUCGAGCGGUAAGGCCCUUUCGGGGGUACACGAGCGGCGAACGGGUGAGUAACACGUGGGUGACCUGCCCUCAGCUCUGGGAUAAGCCUGGGAAACCGGGUCUAAUACUGGAUAUGACUCCAUGACGCAUGUUGUGGGGUGGAAAGCCUUGUGCGGCUGAGGAUGGGCCCGCGGCCUAUCAGCUUGUUGGUGGGGUGANGGCCUACCAAGGCGACGACGGGUAGCCGGCCUGAGAGGGCGACCGGCCACACUGGGACUGAGACACGGCCCAGACUCCUACGGGAGGCAGCAGUGGGGAAUAUUGGACAAUGGGCGCAAGCCUGAUCCAGCGAUGCCGCGUGUGUGAAGAAGGCCU
RNAcentral lists this ribosomal RNA (388 nucleotides) under uncultured bacterium. RNAcentral's name for it is "bacterial SSU rRNA". It matches the Rfam family "Bacterial small subunit ribosomal RNA", at positions 28 to 417 of the family's 1533-position model. The record is from RNAcentral.